GGGGGGGAAGAACCAACAGGGAUUGCCCCAGUAACGGCGAGUGAAGCGGCAACAGCUCAAAUUUGAAAUCUGGCCCUCGGGUCCGAGUUGUAAUUUGUAGAGGAUGCUUUUGGCGAGGUGCCUUCCGAGUUCCCUGGAACGGGACGCCACAGAGGGUGAGAGCCCCGUAUGGUCGGACACCGAGCCUCUGUAAAGCUCCUUCGACGAGUCGAGUAGUUUGGGAAUGCUGCUCAAAAUGGGAGGUAUAUGUCUUCUAAAGCUAAAUAUUGGCCAGAGACCGAUAGCGCACAAGUAGAGUGAUCGAAAGAUGAAAAGCACUUUGAAAAGAGGGUUAAAAAGUACGUGAAAUUGUUGAAAGGGAAGCGCCUAUGACCAGACUUGGGCCCGGUGAAUCAUCCAGCGUUCUCGCUGGUGCACUUUGCCGGGCACAGGCCAGCAUCAGUUUGGCGCGGGGGAAAAAGGCUUCGGGAAUGUGGCUCCCUCGGGAGUGUUAUAGCCCGCUGCGUAAUACCCUGCGCCGGACUGAGGUACGCGCAUUGCAAGGAUGCUGGCGUAAUGGUCAUCAGCGACCCGUCUUGAAACACGGACCAAGGAGUCGUCUUCGUAUGCGAGUGUUCGGGUGUCAAACCCCUACGCGUAAUGAAAGUGAACGCAGGUGAGAGCUUCGGCGCAUCACCGACCGAUCCUGAUGUUCUCGGAUGGAUUUGAGUAAGAGCAUACGGGGCCGGACCCGAAAGAAGGUGAACUAUGCCUGUAUAGGGUGAAGCCAGAGGAAACUCUGGUGGAGGCUCGCAGCGGUUCUGACGUGCGAAUCGAUCGUCAAAUAUGGGCAUGGGGGCGAAAGACUAAUCGAACCUUCUAGUAGCUGGUUUCCGCGUUUUUUCUCUCUCCUCGAAGAGA
This 900-nucleotide ribosomal RNA is filed under the name Beauveria brongniartii. RNAcentral's name for it is "partial large subunit ribosomal RNA". It matches the Rfam family "Eukaryotic large subunit ribosomal RNA", at positions 52 to 980 of the family's 3401-position model. Lineage: Eukaryota; Fungi; Ascomycota; Sordariomycetes; Hypocreales; Cordycipitaceae. The record is from RNAcentral.